GCUGGGCGAGGUGGCACAUGCCUGUAGUCCCAGAUACUCAGGAGGCUGAGGUGGGAGGAUCGCUUGAGCCCAGGAGUUCUGGGCUGUGUAGUGUGCUGUGCGGAUCGGGUGUCCACACUAAGUUGGGCAUCAAUAUGGUGACCUCCCAGGAGCAGGGGACCACCAGGUUGCCUAAGGAGGGAUGAACCGGCCCAGGUCAGAAACAGAGCAAGUCAAAACUCCCAUGCUGAUCGGUAGUGGGAUCGUGCCUGUGAAUAGCCACUGCACUCCAGCCUGGGCAAAGUAGCAAGACCCCAUCUCU
This 301-nucleotide signal recognition particle RNA is filed under the name Saimiri boliviensis boliviensis (Bolivian squirrel monkey). RNAcentral describes it as "Metazoan signal recognition particle RNA (ENSSBOG00000004002.1)". It matches the Rfam family "Metazoan signal recognition particle RNA". From Rfam's summary of the family: The signal recognition particle (SRP) is a universally conserved ribonucleoprotein. Lineage: Eukaryota; Metazoa; Chordata; Mammalia; Primates; Cebidae. The record is from RNAcentral.